CGGGGAGUGGCGCAGCCUGGUAGCGCACCUGCUUUGGGAGCAGGGGGUCGCAGGUUCGAAUCCUGUCUCCCCGACCA
This 77-nucleotide transfer RNA is filed under the name Pseudomonadota bacterium. RNAcentral's name for it is "Proteobacteria bacterium tRNA-Pro". It matches the Rfam family "tRNA". Rfam says of the family: Transfer RNA (tRNA) molecules are approximately 80 nucleotides in length. Their secondary structure includes four short double-helical elements and three loops (D, anti-codon, and T loops). Lineage: Bacteria; Pseudomonadati; Pseudomonadota. The record is from RNAcentral. RNAcentral also lists the same sequence under 3 other names.